UAUUCUCUCCACAAUUUCUUUCUUUAUUUGUUCUGUUGCUAUAUCUGUAGUAACAUAUGUCCCUUUGAAAUGCUUCCAGUUCCUCGCCUGCCAAGUAUGAUAAAUUCUGGCUCCCAGCAAGGAAGUAGCUAUCUGGCUCCCAGCAAGGAAGUAGCUAUUUUCUUCUCGAAUUGUUUCUAGUUGCUCGUUAUUUCCUUUUUGAAUUGUUUCCAUUGGCUCUCC
RNAcentral lists this long non-coding RNA (222 nucleotides) under Nicotiana benthamiana. RNAcentral's name for it is "long non-coding RNA (NBEN_LNC034643)". Lineage: Eukaryota; Viridiplantae; Streptophyta; Magnoliopsida; Solanales; Solanaceae. The record is from RNAcentral.